RNAcentral lists this ribosomal RNA (697 nucleotides) under uncultured Sporocytophaga sp. Its description in RNAcentral is "SSU rRNA". It matches the Rfam family "Bacterial small subunit ribosomal RNA", at positions 173 to 872 of the family's 1533-position model. Lineage: Bacteria; Pseudomonadati; Bacteroidota; Cytophagia; Cytophagales; Cytophagaceae. The record is from RNAcentral.
AUAGCAUAGCAGCUUCGCAUGAAGCCACUAUUAAAAGUCACAACGGUAAAAGAUGAGCAUGCGUCCCAUUAGCUAGUUGGUAAGGUAACGGCUUACCAAGGCUACGAUGGGUAGGGGUCCUGAGAGGGAGAUCCCCCACACUGGUACUGAGACACGGACCAGACUCUUACGGGAGGCAGCAGUGAGGAAUAUUGGACAAUGGGCGCAAGCCUGAUCCAGCCAUGCCGCGUGCAGGAUGACGGUCCUAUGGAUUGUAAACUGCUUUUAUACAGGAAGAAACACUCCGACGUGUCGGAGCUUGACGGUACUGUAAGAAUAAGGAUCGGCUAACUCCGUGCCAGCAGCCGCGGUAAUACGGAGGAUCCAAGCGUUAUCCGGAAUCAUUGGGUUUAAAGGGUCCGUAGGCGGUUUAAUAAGUCAGUGGUGAAAGCCCAUCGCUCAACGGUGGAACGGCCAUUGAUACUGUUAGACUUGAAUUAUUAGGAAGUAACUAGAAUAUGUAGUGUAGCGGUGAAAUGCUUAGAGAUUACAUGGAAUACCAAUUGCGAAGGCAGGUUACUACUAAUGGAUUGACGCUGAUGGACGAAAGCGUGGGUAGCGAACAGGAUUAGAUACCCUGGUAGUCCACGCCGUAAACGAUGGAUACUAGCUGUUGGAAGCAAUUUCAGUGGCUAAGCGAAAGUGAUAAGUAUCCCAC